RNAcentral lists this long non-coding RNA (966 nucleotides) under Marmota monax (woodchuck). The record is from RNAcentral. Lineage: Eukaryota; Metazoa; Chordata; Mammalia; Rodentia; Sciuridae.
CGAAGAUAAACCGCCGGAAUAUGACAGGCAGAAGCAUCUAAAGCUUAUAAAAAUGAAGAGAACAGCAUGUCGCCUGAGUAUUACAAUACAGAAAUCAAGAGACACAUUAGGUGGAACUGAUCAGCCACAAAAACAGUUCAAAAGGCAGAUCGUAGAAACAGAGGACCAGGCUGGGGGAGAAAUGGGGCCAAUCUGGUCCACUGCCUCCCCUCCCUUGGAGCCUGGAGCCCCUGCCCACCCUGCCCCUCUAGGAGGGUGGAGUGGCCAAUGCAGUUGCUCCCCUGGCCUCCGGUCCAGUCCCAGUCCUGGCCAUGACUUCCUAGCAAUGGUUUCCAGGGCAGGAGAGCCAGAGGCUGCUGCUCAGCGCCCACAUGCCGCAUUCUACCGACACCCCAGCUUCCGCUCUGUGAUGUAGGAUCAGAAGGCGCAGAACCUGGGAAGUGGGCGGUCAGGACACACACUUCUCCUGGCAGGGCUCCAAGGAGCUAGAGAUGGCGCCUGGGAGCACCCAGCAGCCCAGCUCCCUGCAAAGGGCUCCUUAGUCCUGCAGACAGGCAGCGGCCUCCGUCCCUCGGAUGGGUCCCUGCUGCCCACCCAGUAGCGCCCAAGCCAACCAGGGUAAUGACUUAAAGGAAUGUUUGCCAGAACUUUCUUAGAGGCAUACAAUUACUUUUUUUUUUUUUUUUUAACAAAGCCUCUCAUUUUAAUUAAAGUCAGAGCACAUAAUGAAAAGGUGCUUCUCCACAGAGUUUUGUCCUUAGAGCUGUGUGUUCACCAACACUGAUGGGAACAAGCAGCUCCAGGUUAAAGGACAACAGGACUCCACAGUAGGAUGUAGCCUGCGGUUGUCACUCCUGAUUGUGAAAACCCUCUGGGACAGCAAAGCAAGAACUGUUUUGUGGAAUGCUUGGCUAUUUAAAAUUAGCAUUCUCCCUGCCCCCCCCCCAUUUUUUUGGCAUAAUAAAC